GCCUGGGUGGCUCAGUUGGUUGAGCAUCCGACUUCGGCUCGGGUCAUGUCUCACAGUUCGUGAGUUCGAGCCCCGUGUCGGGCU
RNAcentral lists this transfer RNA (84 nucleotides) under Felis catus (domestic cat). It matches the Rfam family "tRNA". From Rfam's summary of the family: Transfer RNA (tRNA) molecules are approximately 80 nucleotides in length. Their secondary structure includes four short double-helical elements and three loops (D, anti-codon, and T loops). Further hydrogen bonds mediate the characteristic L-shaped molecular structure. tRNAs have two regions of fundamental functional importance: the anti-codon, which is responsible for specific mRNA codon recognition, and the 3' end, to which the tRNAs corresponding amino acid is attached (by aminoacyl-tRNA synthetases). tRNAs cope with the degeneracy of the genetic code in two manners: having more than one tRNA (with a specific anti-codon) for a particular amino acid; and 'wobble' base-pairing, i.e. permitting non-standard base-pairing at the 3rd anti-codon position. Lineage: Eukaryota; Metazoa; Chordata; Mammalia; Carnivora; Felidae. The record is from Rfam by way of RNAcentral.